CUUCUACAUGAGCUGCAACAACGGUCUCAACAUCCUCAAAGGCACUUUGUUCCAUCUGUUGAACAGCUUGCUCAAGCAAAAUUUGGUCAGGCAUUACAGCAAGAUCAACAGAGAGAUUUAUUUGAGCUAUUAUCUCAUGCCCAGCAUGGUCAAAUUCAAUCUUUAGAGCAUCAAAUUCUUCAAGAACAGCUGCAGGCAAGGCAGUUGCCUAUGGGAUUGAGACAGCGUAUGAAUAUGGAAGAAGAGAGGCAUAUUGAAUCUCUCUGGCCACCGGUUAAUGAAAGUGAUCAGUUCUUCAGGAGUCUUACCGGCAAUCACAGAGCUCACUCUUCAGGAAUUAGCCCUUUAGAUUUUUAUCAGCAGCAGCAGCAGCAGCAGCAGAGGCCACCACAUGAGGACCAGUUGAGCCAACUCGAGCGAAAUCUUUCAUUUCAAGACCGACUUCGGCAAGGGCUUUAUGAGCCGGGCUCAUUGCUGUUUGAGAGGUCCCUGUCCUUGCCUGCUGGUGCUUCAGGAAUGAAUAUGGAUGUUGUAAAUGCUAUGGCUUGUGCUCAUGGUUUAGAUAUGCAGGAGUUGAGCACACGAAUGCAAUCUGCUGGCCAAGUGGGAACGUUGUCUUCUGGAAAUCACCCACAUGAUCGUCAUCACCCUAUGGUUCCUAACCAAUUCCAUGUUUCACAUCUAGAUGCGAUUGAAGGCCGCUGGCCUGAAAGCAAUGGGCCAAUAGUAAACGACUGGAUGGAAUCCCGAAUUCAACAAUUGCACAUCAAUGCUGAACGGCGUAAAAGGGAGUCUGACAUUAAAGUGACUGCUGAAGAUUCAAGUUUAUGGAUGUCAGAUGGAUUGAAUGAUGACAAAUCAAGGCGAUUGUUCAUGGAAUUGCUACAUCAGAAAUCAGGUCAUCAACCUUCAGAUUCGGUACAGAUGAAUGAUGGAAUGUCUUUUGAGAAGAAGUCAGCAUCAGGCAUUUACUCUGGAUCAAGCUCUUCUGAUCACCUUUUUGCUGUUGUUUCAGACCAAGAAGCCAGUCUAAACAACUCACUUGCAAUAGGGUCUUAUGGUUCUA
This 1066-nucleotide unclassified non-coding RNA is filed under the name Hevea brasiliensis (rubber tree). Lineage: Eukaryota; Viridiplantae; Streptophyta; Magnoliopsida; Malpighiales; Euphorbiaceae. The record is from RNAcentral.